This 1117-nucleotide ribosomal RNA is filed under the name human gut metagenome. RNAcentral describes it as "bacterial LSU rRNA". It matches the Rfam family "Bacterial large subunit ribosomal RNA", at positions 1578 to 2703 of the family's 2925-position model. The record is from RNAcentral.
GGCAAGUACAGAAGUCCGUGAAGCCAGCUUCCAAGAAAAGCUUCUAGUGAUAAUCAUACAGUAACCCGUACCGAAAAUGGACACACAUGGGUGAGGAGAGAAUCCUAAGGUGAGCGAGAGAACUAUAGCUAAGGAACUCUGCAAAAUGACUCCGUAACUUAGGGAUAAGGAGUGCUCAUAGAGAUAUGAGCCGCAGUGAAACGGCCCAAGCGACUGUUUACCAAAAACACAGCUCUAUGCUAAGUCGAAAGACGACGUAUAUGGGGUGACGCCUGCCCGGUGCUGGAAGGUUAAGAGGAUGUGUCAGCGCAAGCGAAGCACUGAAUUGAAGCCCCAGUAAACGGCGGCCGUAACUAUAACGGUCCUAAGGUAGCGAAAUUCCUUGUCAGGUAAGUUCUGACCCGCACGAAAGGCGUAACGAUUUGGGCGCUGUCUCAGCUGUAGACUCGGUGAAGUCUUAGUACCUGUGAAGAUGCAGGUUACCCGCGACUAGACGGAAAGACCCCAUGGAGCUUUACUGUAGCUUGAUAUUGGACUUUGAUGCAGGAUGUACAGGAUAGGUAGGAGACUGAGAGACAUGCACGCCAGUGUGUGAGGAGUCGCUGUUGGGAUACUACUCUUCCUGUAUUGGAGUUCUAACCGGAUGCCAUAAGCUGGCAACGGGACAGUGUCAGGUGGGCAGUUUGACUGGGGCGGUCGCCUCCCAAAGAGUAACGGAGGCGCCCAAAGAUACCCUCAGCUUGGAUGGAAAUCAAGCGCAGAGUGCAAAGGCAUAAGGGUGUUUGACUGCGAGACCUACAAGUCGAGCAGGGACGAAAGUCGGGCUUAGUGAUCCGGCGGUGCUGAAUGGAAAGGCCGUCGCUCAACGGAUAAAAGCUACCCUGGGGAUAACAGGCUUAUCACUCCCAAGAGUUCACAUCGACGGAGUGGUUUGGCACCUCGAUGUCGGCUCAUCGCAUCCUGGAGCUGAAGUCGGUUCCAAGGGUUGGGCUGUUCGCCCAUUAAAGCGGUACGCGAGCUGGGUUCAGAACGUCGUGAGACAGUUCGGUCCCUAUCUGUCGUGGGCGUAGGAAGUUUGAGAAGAUCUGUCCUCAGUACGAGAGGACCGGGAGGGACA